This 1997-nucleotide ribosomal RNA is filed under the name human metagenome. RNAcentral's name for it is "bacterial LSU rRNA". It matches the Rfam family "Bacterial large subunit ribosomal RNA", at positions 665 to 2675 of the family's 2925-position model. The record is from RNAcentral.
GCCGCAGGGAAACCGAGUCUGAAUAGGGCGAAUUAGUAUCAUGUCGUAGACCCGAAACCAUGUGACCUACCCAUGAGCAGGUUGAAGGUGCGGUAAGACGCACUGGAGGACCGAACCAGGGCACGUUGAAAAGUGCUUGGAUGACUUGUGGGUAGCGGAGAAAUUCCAAACGAACUUGGAGAUAGCUGGUUCUCUCCGAAAUAGCUUUAGGGCUAGCGUCGACAUAAAGAUUCUUGGAGGUAGAGCACUGUUUGGGUGAGGGGUCCAUCCCGGAUUACCAAUCUCAGAUAAACUCCGAAUGCCAAUGAAUUAUGGUCGGCAGUCAGACUGCGAGUGCUAAGAUCCGUAGUCGAAAGGGAAACAGCCCAGACCACCAGCUAAGGUCCCAAAAUAAUUGUUAAGUGGAAAAGGAUGUGGGGUUGCACAGACAACUAGGAUGUUAGCUUAGAAGCAGCUAUUCAUUCAAAGAGUGCGUAAUAGCUCACUAGUCGAGUGACCCUGCGCCGAAAAUGUACCGGGGCUAAAACAAUUUACCGAAGCUGUGGAUACCUUUAUAGGUAUGGUAGGAGAGCGUUCUAUGUGUGAAGAAGGUAUACCGUGAGGAGUGCUGGAACGCAUAGAAGUGAGAAUGCCGGUAUGAGUAGCGAAAGACAGGUGAGAAUCCUGUCCACCGUAAGACUAAGGUUUCCAGGGGAAGGCUCGUCCGCCCUGGGUUAGUCGGGACCUAAGGAGAGACCGAAAGGUGUAUCCGAUGGACAACAGGUUGAUAUUCCUGUACUAGAGUAUGUAGUGAUGGAGGGACGCAGUAGGCUAACUAAAGCAGACGAAUGGAAGUGUCUGGCCAAGCAGUGAGGUGUGAUAUGAGUCAAAUGCUUAUAUCUAUAACAUUGAGCUGUGAUGGGGAGCGAAGUUUAGUAGCGAAGUUAGUGACGUCACACUGCCAAGAAAAGCUUCUAGCGUUUAAACAUACUCUACCCGUACCGCAAACCGACACAGGUAGUCGAGGCGAGUAGCCUCAGGUGAGCGAGAGAACUCUCGUUAAGGAACUCGGCAAAAUGACCCCGUAACUUCGGGAGAAGGGGUGCUGACUUUUGUCAGCCGCAGUGAAUAGGCCCAAGCAACUGUUUAUCAAAAACACAGCUCUCUGCUAAAUCGUAAGAUGAUGUAUAGGGGGUGACGCCUGCCCGGUGCUGGAAGGUUAAGAGGAGUGCUUAGCGCAAGCGAAGGUAUGAAUUGAAGCCCCAGUAAACGGCGGCCGUAACUAUAACGGUCCUAAGGUAGCGAAAUUCCUUGUCGGGUAAGUUCCGACCCGCACGAAAGGCGUAAUGAUUUGGGCACUGUCUCAACGAGAGACUCGGUGAAAUUUUAGUACCUGUGAAGAUGCAGGUUACCCGCGACAGGACGGAAAGACCCCAUGGAGCUUUACUGCAGUUUGAUAUUGAGUGUCUGUACCACAUGUACAGGAUAGGUAGGAGUCUAUGAGAUCGGGACGCCAGUUUCGAAGGAGACGUUGUUGGGAUACUACCCUUGUGUUAUGGCCACUCUAACCCGGAUAGGUUAUCCCUAUCGGAGACAGUGUCUGACGGGCAGUUUGACUGGGGCGGUCGCCUCCUAAAAGGUAACGGAGGCGCCCAAAGGUUCCCUCAGAAUGGUUGGAAAUCAUUCGCAGAGUGUAAAGGUAUAAGGGAGCUUGACUGCGAGAGCUACAACUCGAGCAGGGACGAAAGUCGGGCUUAGUGAUCCGGUGGUUCCGUAUGGAAGGGCCAUCGCUCAACGGAUAAAAGCUACCCUGGGGAUAACAGGCUUAUCUCCCCCAAGAGUUCACAUCGACGGGGAGGUUUGGCACCUCGAUGUCGGCUCGUCGCAUCCUGGGGCUGUAGUCGGUCCCAAGGGUUGGGCUGUUCGCCCAUUAAAGCGGCACGCGAGCUGGGUUCAGAACGUCGUGAGACAGUUCGGUCCCUAUCCGUCGCGGGCGUAGGAAAUUUGAGAGGAUCUGC